RNAcentral lists this ribosomal RNA (459 nucleotides) under uncultured bacterium. RNAcentral's name for it is "partial 16S ribosomal RNA". It matches the Rfam family "Bacterial small subunit ribosomal RNA", at positions 355 to 808 of the family's 1533-position model. The record is from RNAcentral.
UAGGGAAUCUUCCACAAUGGACGCAAGUCUGAUGGAGCAACGCCGCGUGAGUGAAGAAGGUUUUCGGACCGUAAAGCUCUGUUGUUGGUGAAGAAGGAUAGAGGUAGUAACUGGCCUUUAUUUGACGGUAAUCAACCAGAAAGUCACGGCUAACUACGUGCCAGCAGCCGCGGUAAUCGUAGGUGGCAAGCGUUGUCCGGAUUUAUUGGGCGUAAAGCGAGCGCAGGCGGAAGAAUAAGUCUGAUGUGAAAGCCCUCGGCUUAACCGAGGAAUUGCAUCGGAAACUGUUUUCUUGAGUGCAGAAGAGGAGAGUAGAACUCCAUGUGUAGCGGUGGAAUGCGUAGAUAUAUGGAAGAAUACCAGUGGCGAAGGCGGCUCUCUGGUCUGCAACUGACGCUGAGGCUCGAAAGCAUGGGUAGCGAACAGGAUUAGAUACCCUGGUAGUCCAUGCCGUAAACG